Gossypium hirsutum (cotton) is the source of this 74-nucleotide non-coding RNA. The record is from Rfam. Lineage: Eukaryota; Viridiplantae; Streptophyta; Magnoliopsida; Malvales; Malvaceae.
CGCGGGAUAAAGUAGUUUGGUAGCUCGCAAGGCUCAUAACCUUGAGGUCAUGGGCUCAAAUCUCGUUCCCUCAA